Molecule: ribosomal RNA, 492 nt
Filed under: uncultured bacterium
Lineage: Bacteria
Description: partial 16S ribosomal RNA
Rfam family: Bacterial small subunit ribosomal RNA
Source: RNAcentral
AGUGAACGCUGGCGGUAGGCCUAACACAUGCAAGUCGAACGGCAGCACAGUAAGAGCUUGCUCUUACGGGUGGCGAGUGGCGGACGGGUGAGGAAUACAUCGGAAUCUACUUUUUCGUGGGGGAUAACGUCGGGAAACUUACGCUAAUACCGCAUACGACCUACGGGUGAAAGCAGGGGAUCUUCGGACCUUGCGCGAUUGCAUGAGCCGAUGUCGGAUUAGCUAGUUGGCGGGGUAACGGCCCACCAAGGCGACGAUCCGUAGCUGGUCUGAGAGGAUGAACAGCCACACUGGAACUGAGACACGGUCCAGACUCCUACGGGAGGCAGCAGUGGGGAAUAUUGGACGAUGGGCGCAAGCCUGAUCCAGCCAUACCGCGUGGGUGAAGAAGGCCUGCGGGUUGUAAAGCCCUUUUGUUGGGAAAGAAAAGCAGCAGGUUAAUACCCCGCUGUUCUGACGGUACCCAAAGAAUAAGCACCGGCUAACUUCGUG